UACGGAGGUGGCAAGCGUUGUUCGGAUUCAUUGGGUGUAAAGGGCAUGUAGGCGGCUUCUUAAGUCGAUUGUGAAAUCCCUCGGCUUAACUGAGGAACUGCAAUCGAAACUGUGAAGCUUGAGUGCAGAAGAGGAAAGCGGAAUUCCCGGUGUAAGAGUGAAAUCUGUAGAUAUCGGGAGGAACACCAGUGGCGAAGGCGGCUUUCUGGUCUGCAACUGACGCUGAAAUGCGAAAGCUAGGGGAGCAAACAGGAUUAGAUACCCCGGUA
Molecule: ribosomal RNA, 269 nt
Filed under: uncultured prokaryote
Description: partial 16S ribosomal RNA
Rfam family: Bacterial small subunit ribosomal RNA
Source: RNAcentral